UGACGAGCUCCUCCAAUCAACGGCCUCUCUCAACUCCCACCAGCCUACUUCUCCAGUUCUGCCUCUUAUGCUGGCAACAGUCCUCAGCCUAUAUAAGUGACUGUAAAAGCCUACGGCUGGUGAUUUGGACCUCGGCGCUCCAGAGCCAUUAACGUGAUAAAGUUAGCCUCCAGCUGCCUCUGGUGCCAGGUCUUCCAUCUGCUCUGUUCCUGCAGUCCGUAACAGUAGAUACGUGAAGCCCUGGAUUCAAUCUGCGUGACCACAAAAUGAAUAAACACAAUAAAAACUUAAA
Long non-coding RNA from Chinchilla lanigera (long-tailed chinchilla), 292 nucleotides. RefSeq lists it as uncharacterized. Lineage: Eukaryota; Metazoa; Chordata; Mammalia; Rodentia; Chinchillidae. The record is from RefSeq and is a predicted model, not a curated record. The transcript is spliced from 2 exons.